UUAGGUACCGGGGAAUGAACUCAGGACCUUAUGGUUGUGAAGUAUCAUGGUGCCACUGAGCUAAAUCCCUGGAUCUGACUUGAGUUGGCCAGGGGUAACUGAAACUGCUAAAAGUGGAAUUGUGCACAAUGGAGGAUUCGUGUGCUUUGUAAUGCUUAAAGGAGGAUUUAUAUAGAGCAUGAAUUAUAUUUGGGCAAGAAGUUACUUUCAACUUUUUGGCACUGUUAGUAUUUGAUAUGUUUCAUGGAAGAUUCACCAAAACACUUAAAGCAGAGGGAGUUUCUAACCCGGAGCUCAAGGAAAACUUAAUGAGGAAGCUUGGGGUUAGUACUGAUAGUAACCAGCGUGAAAAAGAGAAUAGUAUCUGGUUCCCAGAAACAGUUUGUAUUUCUUCAUAUGAGCAUGGCAGCCACCACCAAAGGAUGAAUGAAGAGGACCACCAAAGAAGCUACACAAAGAAGCUCAUCUAGUGUCCUAAGGAUCACCCCUUGGUCCUGUCUCCCAAAGGUUCUAGUCAUCUACCAAUAACUUUACCAUGGAGACCAAGCCUUUAAUCACCAUGGACACUUGGUGAGCACUCAAAGUACACCUAAACUAUACCAGAG
RNAcentral lists this long non-coding RNA (605 nucleotides) under Fukomys damarensis (Damara mole-rat). Its description in RNAcentral is "lncRNA (ENSFDAG00000022654.1)". Lineage: Eukaryota; Metazoa; Chordata; Mammalia; Rodentia; Bathyergidae. The record is from RNAcentral.